RNAcentral lists this ribosomal RNA (1373 nucleotides) under uncultured bacterium. RNAcentral describes it as "bacterial SSU rRNA". It matches the Rfam family "Bacterial small subunit ribosomal RNA", at positions 28 to 1381 of the family's 1533-position model. The record is from RNAcentral.
GAUGAACGCUGGCGGCGUGCCUAAUACAUGCAAGUCGAGCGAACGGACGAGAAGCUUGCUUCUCUGAUGUUAGCGGCGGACGGGUGAGUAACACGUGGAUAACCUACCUAUAAGACUGGGAUAACUUCGGGAAACCGUAGCUAAUACCGGAUAAUAUUUUGAACCGCAUGGUUCAAAAGUGAAAGACGGUCUUGCUGUCACUUAUCGAUGGAUCCGCGCUGCAUUAGCUAGUUGGUAAGGUAACGGCUUACCAAGGCAACGAUGCAUAGCCGACCUGAGAGGGUGAUCGGCCACACUGGAACUGAGACACGGUCCAGACUCCUACGGGAGGCAGCAGUAGGGAAUCUUCCGCAAUGGGCGAAAGCCUGACGGAGCAACGCCGCGUGAGUGAUGAAGGUCUUCGGAUCGUAAAACUCUGUUAUUAGGGAAGAACAUAUGUGUAAGUAACUGUGCACAUCUUGACGGUACCUAAUCAGAAAGCCACGGCUAACUACGUGCCAGCAGCCGCGGUAAUACGUAGGUGGCAAGCGUUAUCCGGAAUUAUUGGGCGUAAAGCGCGCGUAGGCGGUUUUUUAAGUCUGAUGUGAAAGCCCACGGCUCAACCCGUGGAGGGUCAUUGGAAACUGGAAAACUUGAGUGCAGAAGAGGAAAGUGGAAUUCCAUGUGUAGCGGUGAAAUGCGCAGAGAUAUGGAGGAACACCAGUGGCGAAGGCGACUUUCUGGUCUGUAACUGACGCUGAUGUGCGAAAACGUGGGGAUCAAACAGGAUUAGAUACCCUGGUAGUCCACGCCGUAAACGAUGAGUGCUAAGUGUUAGGGGGUUUCCGCCCCUUAGUGCUGCAGCUAACGCAUUAAGCACUCCGCCUGGGGAGUGCGACCGCAAGGUUGAAACUCAAAGGAAUUGACGGGGAUCCGCACAAGCGGUGGAGCAUGUGGUUUAAUUCGAAGCAACGCGAAGAACCUUACCAAAUCUUGACAUCCUUAGACAACUCUAGAGAUAGAGCCUUCCCCUUCGGGGGACAAAGUGACAGGUGGUGCAUGGUUGUCGUCAGCUCGUGUCGUGAGAUGUUGGGUUAAGUCCCGCAACGAGCGCAACCCUUAAGCUUAGUUGCCAUCAUUAAGUUGGGCACUCUAAGUUGACUGCCGGUGACAAACCGGAGGAAGGUGGGGAUGACGUCAAAUCAUCAUGCCCCUUAUGAUUUGGGCUACACACGUGCUACAAUGGACAAUACAAAGGGCAGCGAAACCGCGAGGUCAAGCAAAUCCCAUAAAGUUGUUCUCAGUUCGGAUUGUAGUCUGCAACUCGACUACAUGAAGCUGGAAUCGCUAGUAAUCGUAGAUCAGCAUGCUACGGUGAAUACGUUCCCGGGUCU